Oncorhynchus keta (chum salmon) is the source of this 7585-nucleotide long non-coding RNA. RefSeq lists it as uncharacterized. The record is from RefSeq and is a predicted model, not a curated record. NCBI's taxonomy places the organism in Eukaryota, Metazoa, Chordata, Actinopteri, Salmoniformes, Salmonidae. The transcript has 5 exons.
ACUGUCUGUCUGGAAGAUGAUAUGGGGGUCUGGACUGUCUGGAAGAUGACAGAGGGUCCUCCACACCAGGAUAGUGUAAAACAGAAGGUCCUCCACACCAGGAUAGUGUAAAACAGAAGGUCCUCCACACCAGGGCAGUGUGAAACAGAAGGUCCUCCACACCAGGGCAGUGUGAAACAGAAGGUCCUCCACACCAGGACAGUGUGAAACAGAAGGUCCUCCACACCAGGACAGUGUGAAACAGAAGGUCCUCCACACCAGGACAGUGUGAAACAGAAGGUCCUCCACACCAGGACAGUGUGAAACAGAAGGUCCUCCACACCAGGACAGUGUGAAACAGAAGGUCCUCCACACCAGGGCAGUGUAAAACAGAAGCUCCUCCACACCAGGACAGUGUGAAACAGAAGGUCCUCCACACCAGGACAGUGUGAAACAGAAGCUCCUCCACACCAGGACAGUGUAAAACAGAAGCUCCUCCACACCAGGACAGUGUAAAACAGAAGCUCCUCCACACCAGGACAGUGUAAAACAGAAGGUCCUCCAAACCAGGACAGUGUAAAACAGAAGCUCCUCCACACCAGGACAGUGUAAAACAGAAGCUCCUCCACACCAGGACAGUGUAAAACAGAAGCUCCUCCACACCAGGACAGUGUGAAACAGAAGGUCCUCCACACCAGGACAGUGUAAAACAGAAGCUCCUCCACACCAGGACAGUGUAAAACAGAAGGUCACCCACUCCAGGACAAUGUAAAACAGAAGGUCCUCCACUCCAGGGCAGUGUAAAACAGAAGGUCACCCACUCCAGGGCAGUGUAAAAGAGAAGGUCACCCACUCCAGGACAGUGUAAAACAGAAGGUCACUCACUCCAGGACAGUGUAAAACAGAAGGUCACCCACACCAGGAUAGUGUAAAACAGAAGGUCCUCCACACCAGGAUAGUGUAAAACAGAAGGUCCUCCACACCAGGGCAGUGUGAAACAGAAGGUCCUCCACACCAGGGCAGUGUGAAACAGAAGGUCCUCCACACCAGGACAGUGUGAAACAGAAGGUCCUCCACACCAGGAUAGUGUAAAACAGAAGGUCCUCCACACCAGGAUAGUGUGAAACAGAAGGUCCUCCACACCAGGGCAGUGUGAAACAGAAGGUCCUCCACACCAGGGCAGUGUGAAACAGAAGGUCCUCCACACCAGGACAGUGUGAAACAGAAGGUCCUCCACACCAGGACAGUGUGAAACAGAAGGUCCUCCACACCAGGACAGUGUGAAACAGAAGGUCCUCCACACCAGGGCAGUGUAAAACAGAAGCUCCUCCACACCAGGACAGUGUGAAACAGAAGGUCCUCCACACCAGGACAGUGUGAAACAGAAGCUCCUCCACACCAGGACAGUGUAAAACAGAAGCUCCUCCACACCAGGACAGUGUAAAACAGAAGGUCACCCACUCCAGGGCAGUGUAAAAGAGAAGGUCACCCACUCCAGGACAGUGUAAAACAGAAGGUCCUCCACACCAGGACAGUGUAAAACAGAAGGUCCUCCACACCAGGACAGUGUAAAACAGAAGGUCACCCACUCCAGGACAGUGUAAAACAGAAGGUCCUCCACUCCAGGGCAGUGUAAAACAGAAGGUCACCCACUCCAGGGCAGUGUAAAACAGAAGGUCACCCACUCCAGGGCAGUGUAAAAGAGAAGGUCACCCACUCCAGGACCGUGUAAAACAGAAGAUCACUCACUCCAGGGCAGUGUAAAACAGAAGGUCACUCACUCCAGGACAGUGUAAAACAGAAGGUCACCCACUCCAGGACAGUGUAAAACAGAAGGUCACCCACUCCAGGGCAGUGUAAAAGAGAAGGUCACCCACUCCAGGACAGUGUAAAACAGAAGGUCACCCACUCCAGGACAGUGUAAAACAGAAGGUCACUCACUCCAGGACAGUGUAAAACAGAAGGUCACCCACUCCAGGGCAGUGUAAAAGAGAAGGUCACCCACUCCAGGGCAGUGUAAAAGAGAAGGUCACUCACUCCAGGACAGUGUAAAACAGAAGGUCACCCACUCCAGGGCAGUGUAAAAGAGAAGGUCACCCACUCCAGGACAGUGUAAAACAGAAGGUCACCCACUCCAGGACAGUGUAAAACAGAAGGUCACUCACUCCAGGACAGUGUAAAACAGAAGGUCACCCACUCCAGGGCAGUGUAAAAGAGAAGGUCACCCACUCCAGGGCAGUGUAAAAGAGAAGGUCACUCACUCCAGGACAGUGUAAAACAGAAGGUCACCCACUCCAGGGCAGUGUAAAAGAGAAGGUCACCCACUCCAGGGCAGUGUAAAAGAGAAGGUCACCCACUCCAGGGCAGUGUAAAAGAGAAGGUCACCCACUCCAGGACAGUGUAAAACAGAAGGUCACCCACUCCAGGGCAGUGUAAAACAGAAGGUCACCCACUCCAGGACAGUGUAAAACAGAAGGUCACCCACUCCAGGGCAGUGUAAAAGAGAAGGUCACCCACUCCAGGACAGUGUAAAACAGAAGGUCACCCACUCCAGGGCAGUGUAAAACAGAAGGUCACCCACUCCAGGACAGUGUAAAACAGAAGGUCACCCACUCCAGGGCAGUGUAAAAGAGAAGGUCACCCACUCCAGGACAGUGUAAAACAGAAGGUCACCCACUCCAGGGCAGUGUACAAACUGGCUAAGUAGUGUCAGAGGACAUCUCAGACAUUCUGGAAGAGUUUGAGACAGAGCCGAGCAGAUUGUAGCUGUGACUGUUGAUAAUGCUGUUAAUAUGGAUGUUGCCAUCAAGAGGCUACACAUUGAAUGUGGCAGCACAGAAAUCAGAGCAGUGGUUGUGUGGUUCAAGAGAUCCUCGAUGUCCAAAACAGUCGAAGGAAAAGCAGCAGCUCAUUGGUAAGAAGCCACAGCUCAAUAUAUAUGUUUUAAUUGUACCUUUUAUUUAACUAGGCAAGUCAGUAGAGAACAAAUUCUUAUUUUCAAUGUCGGCCUAGGAACUGUGGGUUAACUGCCUUGUUCAGGGGCAGAAUGACAGAUUUUUACCUUGUCCGCUUUCGGUUACUAGUCCAACGCUCUAACCACUAGGCUACCUACCGUCCCAAAACAAUAUUCAAAUAUUAUUUUGAAAUUCACACAUUUAAGAAUUUAAUUCAAUAUUCCAGUGUGCGGUAAUAAAUGUAUGUUGUGUUGUUGUUGUCGUUUCAGACCUUCCGCAACACUCACUCAUCCUUGAUGUCAGGACCAGAUGGAACUCUAUCUAAUGAUAGAGAGAUUCAUGGAGCAGUAUACAACAAUCCAAGCAGCAGCCUUGGACCCACGACUGUGAAAAGCAAUGACAAGCUGGACCGUCUGAAGGACGAGGACUUCCAUCCACUCACGCCGCCAAACAUACUCGCGUAAAACUGACGAUCCUACCGAUCCUCGACGAUGUCAUUUACAAAAUAGCUUCCAAUACUCUACUCAGCAAACUGGAUGCAGUCUAUCACAGUGCCAUCUGUUUCGUCACCAACGCCCCUUAUACCACCCACCACUGCGACCUGUAUGCUCUAGUCGGCUGGCCCUCGCUACAUAUUCGUCGCCAGACCCACUGGCUCCAGAUCAACUAUAAGUCUAUGCUAGGUAAAGCUCUGCCUUAUCUCAGCUCACUGGUCUUGAUAACAACACCCACCCAUAGCACGCAUUCCAGCAGGUAUAGCUCACUGAUCAUCCCCAAAGCCAACACCUCUUUGGCCGCCUUUCCUUCCAAUUCUCUGCUGCCAAUGACUGGAACGAAUUACAAAAAUCGCUGAAGCUGGAGACUCAUAUCUCCCUCACUAACUUUAAACAUCAGCCAUCUGAGCAGCUAACCGAUCGCUGCAGCUGUACAUUGUCCAUCUGUAAAUAGCCUGUAAAUUACCUACCUCAUCCCCAUAUUGUUUUUAUUUACUUUUCUGCUCUUUUGCACACCAGUAAUUACUUCGCUACAAUGGGAAAUGUAUUGCCUUACCUCCUCAUGACAUUUGCAAACACUGUAUAUAGACUUCUUUUUUUUCUAUUGUGUUACUGACUGUACGGUUGUUUAUUCCAUGUGUAACUCUGUUGUUUGUGUCACACUGCUUUGCUUUAUCUUGGCCAGGUCACAGUUGUAAAUGAGAACUUGUUCUCAACUAGCUUACCUGGUUAAAUAAAAGGUGAAAUUAUUAUUUUAUUUUUUUAAUAAAUAAGGCUGAGGAGUUUGUCCAGCUCAUGAGAAUCCUCUAUACAUCCACACUGUGUCAUGUGAAAAGAAUGCCACCUGUGGUCAGAUCAAACCCGUCCUCCACAAACUGGAAGAGAACUUCACAGUGAAGCAUGAAGAUACAAUGUUAGUGGCAACCAUCAAAGAGAAGGUGUGGGAGAACCUCUCCGAGUGCUAUCAGGAUGAUGACAUUCCAUCCUUCCUGCAUGAGGACACAGCAAUGGACCCCAGAUUUAAAGGGAGGCUGGUGAGUGACGCCACCUGGGACAGGCUGAGGAAGGCAACUGUUGAGGAGCCGCAGCAGACAGACACAGAGCACCAGCAACAGAAGGAGUCUGAAGGAGAGGAAAUGGAGGAGACAGUCCCUCCAUUGUACAAAACAAGGAGUGCCUUGGAGGAGCUGUUCUCAGAGGAGGACAGGGAGUUGAGGUUGACGAUCCAACAGGACACCUCGUCCCUCACCAAGCGUGUUGACCUUGAGGUCGAACUCUAUAAAGGCCUGGCUCCCAACCCUAUCAUCACAACCUAGUCUAUAAUAGUGAUUCGAUCAAAACAUUAUAUUUCAGAAAAUAAAGCAAUGUGAAUUCUGUUCUUAAUUUGUUUUUGUUUUUCUCGUAAAAAAUAACCGAAAGAAUACUGUUAAAGUACCGGAUGGAUAAGCAGUAUCGGUAAGAGUAGUAAUACCGUUAAAAUGUUAACGAUACCCAUCUCUACCCAGGACAGAAACACAUUUAGAUCCAACCAAAUUAUGAGAAAGCAAAAAGAGAACUAUUUGACAUACUGGAAAGAAUCAACCAAACAAAUUGGAACGCUAUCUCAAUCAAAUGUAUUUAUAAAGCCCUUUAUACAUCAGCCGAUGUCACUAAGUGUUAUACAGAAUACCUUAAGAAAAUCCAUGAUUAUGUACAGACUCAGUGAGCAUAACCUUGCUAUUGAGAGAAAGGCCAUAGCCUGUCUUCUCUCAAGAGCCAUGUCUGCCUAUUUAUUUAACCUUUAUUUAACCAGGAAGGGCUCAUUGAGAUUUAAAAUAUCUUUUUCAAGAGCGUGCUGGCCAAGAUAGGCAGCACCAAGUCAUGACAAAAAUUAUAGACGAACAACAUGACAAACUACAAGUAAUCUACUAAAAACCCAUAGAAUUCACAAAAGUAUAACAAAAUCAAAAACAACAAAUUCAAAAUAUUGACAGGUCAGGGAAUCAGUCUCAAGAUCAUUCAUCAGCGAUUUAAAAAUACCAAUCGGGACAAGUUCUUCCAGUCUAAAAGUAUUUUGUAAGGCGUUCCAAGACGAUGGCACAGAGUACAUCAAAGCCCUUUUACCAAAUUCAGUUGGGACAUUUGGAACAGUUAGCAGGAUAAAGUCCAGCGAACGAAGAGAGUACCCACCACAUUUCUGAACAAUAAAAAUGCCCAAAUAAAAAGGUAGUAAACCCAAAAUGGUUUUGUAAAUAAAGUAUACCAGUGCCUGAGCCUACGAGUGACUAGAAGGCCAGCCAACCCUGGUAUACAAAGUGCAGUGGUGCGUAAGGGUUUUGCAGUUUAAAAUAAAUCUCAAAGUGCCAUGGUAAAGAGUGUCAAUUGAUCUCAAACACUGAGGGGAAGAAUUCAUAUAUAAAAUAUCCCCAUAGUCUAGUAAAGGCAUAACUGUAGCUGAUACUAGCCUCCUUCUGGCUUCAAAAGAAAAACAGGCCUUAUUCCUAAAAUAAAAUCCCAAUUUCAGCUUCAAUAUUUUUGUAAGUUGUUGAAUAUGCAAUUUAAAAGAGAGGCCGUCAUCAAUUAAAAUGCCAAGAUAUUUAUAUGAGCACAUGUGCCUAUGUGCACACUGCCCAAGAAAAAUUAGGUGGAAACUGAGCUGUACUUCCUAACCUCCUGCCAAAUGUAUGACCACGUUAGAGACACAUAUUUCCCACAGAUCACACAGACCCACAAAGAAUUAGAAAACAAAUAAACAUUGAUAAACUCCCAUAUCUGUUUGGCAAAAUACUGCAGUGUGUCAUCACAGCAGCAAGAUUUGUGGCCCGUUGCCAUGAGAAAAGGUCAACCAGUAGAACACAAACAACAUUGUAAAUACAACCAAUAUUCAUCUGUUUAUUUAUUUUCCCUUUCAUACUUCAAUUAUAUGCACACUGUAUAGCCAAUAAUAUAACAAUUGAAAUGUCUAUAUUAUUUUACAACUUUUGUGAGUGUAAUGUUUACUGAUGUUUCCCUUGUUUAUUUCCCUUUUGUUUAUUGUCUAUUGUCUAUUCUAAGCCCUUUGAAUUGAAUUGAGAGGUAUAUAGAUGGGCGGUAGCGAGAGAGAGAGGGGUAGAGAGAGAGGGGGGUAGAGAGAGGGAGAGAGGGGUAGAGAGAGAGGGUAGAGAGAGAGAGAGGGGUAGAGAGGGGUAGAGAAAAGUAGAGAAAGAGGGAGAGAGAGAGAGGUAGAGAGAGAGAGAGAGGGAGGGGUAGAGAGAGAGAGAGAGAGAGAGGGGUAGAGAGAGAGAGAGAGAGAGAGAAAGAGAGAGAAAGAGAGAGGUAGAGAGAAAGAGAAAGAGAGAGAAAGAGAGAGAGGUAGAGAGAAAGAGACAGAGGUAGAGAAAAAGAGAGAGAAAGGUAGAGGUAGAGAGAAGGGUAGAGAGAAAGGUAGAUAGAGAUAAAUAGAGAGAGAGGGGUAGAGAGAGGAAGAGAGGGGUAGAGAGAGGGAGGGGAGGGGUAGAGAGAAAGAGAGAGGUAGAGAAAAAGAGAGAGAGAGGUAUAGAGAGAGGUAGAGAGGGGUAGAGAGAAAGAGAGAGAGGGGUAGAGAGAGAGGUAGAGAAAGAGAGAGAGAGGUAGAGGUAGAGGUAGAGGGGUAGAGAGAAAGGUAGAUAGAGAUAAAUAGAGAGAGAGGGGGUAGAGAGAAAGAGAGGGGUAAACAGCUGACAGGGAGAGAUAUGUCCUCUCAACAUGAAUGUUUGGGCAUUGUGUGUGGGCAGCAUGAGAAAAGUGCUGUCAGAGGUAAGAAUCUGGUACUGUGAAAAAGGGUAGGGACUCUGGCUCCCCCUGCAGUUCAUGAUUUAUACUGCAGUUAAAUGUGUACGGAAGUGUAGUUAGGCGAAGGAAGUCCAAGGCAACAUGGAGCUAAACAACUCAAUCACUGAAAGUGAAUUACUUACCACUGGGCUUUUGUAAAGGCUAUGUGCAAGUGUUGGUCCUUCUGUAGCUCAGUUGGUAGAGCAUGGCACUUGUAACGCCAGGGUAGUGGGUUCGAUUCCCGGGACCACCCAUACGUAGAAUGUAUGCACACAUGACUGUAAGUCGCUUUGGAUAAAAGCGUCUGCUAAAUGGCAUAUAUUAUUAUUAUUAUAUAUAUAUUAUUGAUGUCUCAGUCUGUCACCAUCCCCGAAUCUCUGUGUGUGUGUG